Molecule: ribosomal RNA, 252 nt
Filed under: uncultured bacterium
Lineage: Bacteria
Description: partial 16S ribosomal RNA
Rfam family: Bacterial small subunit ribosomal RNA
Source: RNAcentral
ACGUAGGAUGCAAGCGUUGUCCGGAUUUAUUGGGCGUAAAGAGUUCGUAGGCGGUUUGUUAAGUCUGGUGUUAAAGAUCGGGGCUCAACCUCGGGACUGCAUUGGAUACUGGCAGACUGGAGUGCGGUAGAGGUAAGUGGAAUUUCUGGUGUAGCGGUGAAAUGCGUAGAUAUCAGAAAGAACACCGGUGGCGUAGGCGACUUACUGGGCCGUAACUGACGCUGAGGAACGAAAGCCAGGGGAGCGAAUGGG